Molecule: transfer RNA, 73 nt
Filed under: Myotis davidii
Lineage: Eukaryota; Metazoa; Chordata; Mammalia; Chiroptera; Vespertilionidae
Rfam family: tRNA
About the family: Transfer RNA (tRNA) molecules are approximately 80 nucleotides in length. Their secondary structure includes four short double-helical elements and three loops (D, anti-codon, and T loops). Further hydrogen bonds mediate the characteristic L-shaped molecular structure. tRNAs have two regions of fundamental functional importance: the anti-codon, which is responsible for specific mRNA codon recognition, and the 3' end, to which the tRNAs corresponding amino acid is attached (by aminoacyl-tRNA synthetases). tRNAs cope with the degeneracy of the genetic code in two manners: having more than one tRNA (with a specific anti-codon) for a particular amino acid; and 'wobble' base-pairing, i.e. permitting non-standard base-pairing at the 3rd anti-codon position.
Source: Rfam by way of RNAcentral
GCUGUUUUGGCUCAGCGGAUAGAGCUUCAGACUUCAGACCAAAGGGUUCUGGGUUCAAUUCCCGUAAAGGGCA